GUUAAUGUUGUACCGAGCUCGCUUUUUGGAGAUUGGCCUGGGGCUGUGACGCUCUUGGCUAUUUUGCCCCGAGCUCUUCCGGGAGGUCGGAAUUUGAUUUUUCAUCAGUAACUUAGGAUUUGUCUUUUUUGUUUUCCCGGGAGUUCUAGGGGAUCCCGGUCUUCUUUGUUUUCCCGAGAGUUCUAGGGGAUCCCGGUCUUCAUGCUCCGGGAGGUCUUUUAAAAUUCUCGCCGGCCGUUUUUGUUUUGUUUUCCCGGGAGUUCUUAGGGAUCCCGGUUGUAACAGCCCGGAAACCGGUACCCUCUCUGUAACGGCCCAAACUGCUCGGCACUAGGAUCCAGAUCGGCUUAAGGCCGCCUAGACCCGUAGUAAGCCUGCUAUGAACUCUGUGUACCUGUUAACAUCCCAUACAUGAUCCGACUGGACUCUUAACUGUUACAACUUUUCUUUAAAACAACCAGACUUAAUCUGUAAAACACUCUCUGUAGGUCCAAUCAUAUGAACCAAAAUGCUCAGAUAUACUCAUCUGAACUAGCCCUCGGGCUAUCUAUCAUACACCAGUGAUGCUUUACCAAGUAACCUCCAUACCCUAUGCGCUCUGCAGCAUAGAACCCACUCUGUAAGGGUCAGCAUAUCAUAAGUUAACUUGGCUACCAUAGAGUCACAGCAAUCAAACCUGGUCUUCUCUAGUGGUCUACUCAGUGGAUCACAGGAAUCAAACCUGGUCUUUCCUUUGCACUGGUCUUGGGUCAAGGGACUUAAGCCCUAUCUUCCCUCACAGUUAUCAUUCACUGGGUUUUCGAAACACAACAUAUAUUAAAUCUGGUCUGACUCAUUUCUCAUCAAGAAACUGUAAAACUGGAUACAUGCACAUACAAGGGAUUAACAUACACUAGACAAUAGGCAAAAGCACAUGCUAACUCAUUUAUCCAUUAACUGACUACUUAUUACAUCACUUUUACAUACAUCUCUUUAAUUACAUCAUGUCCACACUACACUAUUACACACAAGCAGUACCAUAGCUGAUACACUCUGCUGCUUCUCACCUUCCCAGCUAACCAGAACCUGCAACACUGGGAUUAAGGGAAAGGGAUGAGCUAUAAAGCCCAGUGAGUAGAAACACUGAAAAUAGUUCGUUCAUACACAUCUUUUAUGACAAUGCAACACAACUCAUACAUUCCACAUCAUUGAUUGGACAUGACAGCAAAACUCCCUCGACGGGCUAUUGAUGUCGCCUGGGUCCAAUCAUCUGGAAUUAGACAUGACCUCAAAACUCCCUCGACGGGCUAUUGAUGUCGCCUUGGUCCAAUUCCCACUAUCACUGAAUAAGGCAAUGCAACAACUUCGUGUUUCUAAUGCAACUCACCCUAAUAUAAAUCAUAACAGUCAUGAUGCAUGAACUAUGCUUCAUACAUUCCAUUUUCUCAAAAUAAAGAUUAAGUUUAGUUCUACUCACCUCUGCUCCUCAAGCAGAAACCUGACUGACGCUGUACCCACGACUACUGGUGACCUCCUCGAUCUCUCGGGUCCAAUCCUACACAAAUGGACUCGAAUGAGGCAUCAAACAUACUCUUAUUAACUCACAAUCAACUUCCCAAAAUCCCUCUAAAAGCUCAUAGAACAAUCACAUAAAGCAUGCAAAAGAACAGCUAGACAGAACACAUUCGGCGGCAGCUUCGGCGGCCGAAUGUCCUGUCCAGAGCCGAAACUCACAUACUUUCGGCAGCCGAAGCUCUCCUUUCGGCGGCCGAACCCUUUCGGGGGCAAGGUUCGGGGGUCACAACACACUCCAGAGACGAAAGUCUCUAACCUUCGGCGGCACCUUCGGCGGCCGAAACCCCUAAACAGAGCCGAACCUUAACACACUCGGGGGCAAGCUGUGGCAGCCUAAGCCACCAUGCAAGAGGUUCGGCGGCCGAAUGCACCUUCGGCUGCCGAACCUGAGUUCUUCUCAAGAACUCAGCUUCUCCCGCAACCUAGCUCCUCCAUCCUUUUCACCUCUCUAAACAUGCAUAACUCCACUCCUCCACUCGCAUAUACUCAAGUAUAUGCUCCAAGGGGUCCAAAACUACCUAUCAACCCCAACAAACAGCAAACAUAACACAUAGACAAGCUUGCAUGCAUAACUCAUCAAUAACUCCACUUACACCCUAUACAUGCCACUCUACCCUUAACGUCUUUAAACACUGGUAUAAAUCAUUAAAAUACGGUAAAAAGCUGUCCUUACCUCCUGAAAACAUAAGCUGAGCAACCUGAACCUAAGGACAUGUGCUACCUUCCCUUCACCUUCUCCACACUACCAAACCUCUCUUUUUCACUCAAACCCUUCACCAUCAACCCAUUAAAACGUUACAAGAUGAUAAAACCAAAGCAAGUGACUCAGGGAGGACGUGGCCUCACCUCAGGAAAUGAAAGGAACGGAAAUCCAUCCAAGUCACCGACUGGAGGCGCUGAAAUAGAGGGCUGGCCGACUCACCUUCGGCUGCCAAACCUGCAUGCAAAACCAUGCAACGUUCGGGGGCCGAACAUGACCUUCGGAAGCCGAAUCUAUAACACUUUCGGCGGCCGAACAUUACCUUCGGGGGCCGAACCUGGCAGAAACUCCUUAGGCCAAUUCUCCUCACAACUUAACUCUAUUCUGAAUCAAACCUUUGAAACACUUAAAAACCUUUUAGAAAACUUUCACUCUUACCCUUCUAGAACCUCUGACAUUCCAGAAUUCCACCGGAUGGUAAGAAUUCUGAUGCCUGAACUAGCCGGGUAUUACACCGGUCUUCUUUGUUUUCCUGGGAGUUCUAGGGGAUCCCGGUCUUCAUGCUCCUGGAGGUCUUUUAAGAUCCUCACCGGCCAUUUUUGUUUUGUUUUCCCGGGAGUUCUUAGGGAUCCCGGUCUUCUUUGUUUUCCCGGGAGUUCUAGGGGAUCCCGGUCUUCAUGCUCCGGGAGGUCUUUUAAGAUCCUCACCGGCCGUUUUUGUUUUGUUUUCCCGGGAGUUCUUAGGGAUCCCGGUCUUAUUUAUUUUCCCGGGAGUUCUAAGGGAUCCCGGUCUUCAUGCUCCGGGAGGUCUUUUAAGAUCCUCACCG
This 3080-nucleotide long non-coding RNA is filed under the name Manihot esculenta (cassava). RNAcentral's name for it is "long non-coding RNA (MESC_LNC004595)". Lineage: Eukaryota; Viridiplantae; Streptophyta; Magnoliopsida; Malpighiales; Euphorbiaceae. The record is from RNAcentral.